CAGUAGCCGCGGGAAAACGAAGGGGGCUAGCGUUGUUCGGAUUUACUGGGCGUAAAGGGCGCGUAGGCGGACUGAUAAGUCAGGGGUGAAAUCCCAAGGCUCAACCUUGGAACUGCCUUUGAUACUGUUUGUCUUGAGUUCGAGAGAGGUAAGUGGAAUUGCGAGUGUAGAGGUGAAAUUCGUAGAUAUUCGCAGGAACACCAGUGGCGAAGGCGGCUCACUGGCUCGAUACUGACGCUGAGGUGCGAAAGCGUGGGGAGCAAACAGGAUUAGAUACCCCAGUAGUCCCUGUCUCUUAUAC
Molecule: ribosomal RNA, 301 nt
Filed under: uncultured bacterium
Lineage: Bacteria
Description: partial 16S ribosomal RNA
Rfam family: Bacterial small subunit ribosomal RNA
Source: RNAcentral